Molecule: long non-coding RNA, 796 nt
Organism: Rattus norvegicus (Norway rat)
Lineage: Eukaryota; Metazoa; Chordata; Mammalia; Rodentia; Muridae
Source: RefSeq, a predicted model, not a curated record
CUUAGCAAUAACGGAGAACUCGAUAUGGAAGUAUAAGAACAGACAACAUUGUAUCGUUCAAAACUGGGCAAGUUUCCCCCAUAAGGUGGCAUAAGGAACUCCUGACCUCUGCCUUACUGGAGAGCACACCCUGCCAUCAGAGUACAACUCAUCCUGGCAAACUAGAACUUUCUCUGAAUUCUCUUCAGCUCAGCUAACUUGCGAGCCACCGCCCUGCCACCUCGUCAGCCACAUGCAAAGUUGGCAGUCCCUCAUGGCUGCUCACUGCGGGUUCUUCCACACAUGGAGGACAUCCUUUGGUGCUCAGCAAAGCAGAAGAAAACAGGCCUAUUUCCUAAGGCUCUCCACAUGAGUACGUGUUGGACGAUCCCUUCCCAGAUGUCAGUGAACAGAUGAAUAUUUUAGACACUCAUCCCAAUUAACAUGCAGCCAGAACACCAGUGUGGUUGCUUGGAGGAAUCAGAUUAGAAAUGGAGACACACCUGCAGGAUUUGCACUCUAUUUAAAAAGAGUUAUCUUCCUGUGGGCUGGAUAUCUUCUCAUCUGUCGGAAGGACGGAUUUCCAUGUCCACAUGAAUGAAGACUGGUGUGAGAACCGUUGUUUUUCCUAUUUUUCCUAAAAGGAACAAAAAGAACAGAAGCCACUAAAGAGAAGAUAGACUAUAGACAAUAGAUGAGAAAUGACAUUCUGUAGGUAGUGUAAUGAUCUUUUAGUCGUAUUUUAAGAGCCAAGAGAUUAUCUACUUUUCUGUUACAUUGACAAAAAUAAAAAAGUGAAAAUAAAAUUUUGGUUUCU